Molecule: non-coding RNA, 32 nt
Filed under: Geobacter sulfurreducens KN400
Lineage: Bacteria; Pseudomonadati; Thermodesulfobacteriota; Desulfuromonadia; Geobacterales; Geobacteraceae
Source: RNAcentral
CGCCAGGCAUACGUGAAUAUGGCCCGGACAAA